RNAcentral lists this unclassified non-coding RNA (1668 nucleotides) under Hevea brasiliensis (rubber tree). Lineage: Eukaryota; Viridiplantae; Streptophyta; Magnoliopsida; Malpighiales; Euphorbiaceae. The record is from RNAcentral.
GGUGACUUUCCUCCUCAUUAACUAUCCCAUCUCAGCCUGCAGAUUCGUACUUCAUACAAUAUCAAACCUCAAUAUUUUAGGAGUACAAUGGCAUAUAUAUAUAUAUACAUAUAUACGCGCUCAUUUUCCAAAAUAAAAUAAUAUCAUAUCGUGACCAUAUUACGUGAAAAAAAAAUGUGAUACAAAAUUAUUUAUAACAUCUUUUUUUGUCCACUUUUUUUUUUAUGCAAUUGGAUCAUAUGGAAGGCAUCAUAUGUUUAUAUGGGAGAUAAUAUAAGCUUAAUUUUCCAAAGCGGAGGAUGUUUCCAGACGGUAACUGAACCAUUACAAAAAGCGAACCUCAGAUAAAAUUGUGCACAGCCUGAACCUACCUUCUCGAAAUUAAUACAAACCCUCCCAAUAGCUGAUUCCUCAAGCUUAGCGAUGCAUCACAAUAGGCCAAAUGAUUUAACACUAAAAUUGUUUUGACCCAUGAAUUCCACCAAUGGAUAGAAUAAAUUAGAGGAUCUGAGCAGCUGUGUUCAGCUUUUCUGCUAAACUCAGCUGUGUCCUUGUGAUGCUUGACAAAUAUAGCAAGAGCAAAUGGUCCUGUAGGAACGGAAGAAAGCAAUAGCCACAAAAGUCAGUCAGAUAAAAAGCCACCAAUGUCAAGGUAACCACAAAGCUACAACAAGAGUAUGAUUGAAUCAGUGGUCAACAAGGACAAUCAAAUUAUAAUACCAACAAUUUUCAACACUAAGAAAUCCCUUUUGAUCUAAGGUUAAUUAAAUGGUAAGAGUCUGCUAAUACAAUUAAGUUAUAAACUUCACCUCUAGGUGAUUUGAGAGCAACACAUUACCUGAAGAUUGUCAUUCACAAGCUUAUCAAAGGCCGAUGGCAAAAGUUUGGGAAGGGAAGCAACAGUUUCUGAUAUAAACCGGCCUAUGCUACUAUCUGAUGCAGUAUGCCCUUCCACAACAUCAUCAACAUAUUUGUGGACAUCAUCAAUUAGGGCUAGUAGCCGCUGCAUUGAGGCUUCCAUUCCUUCCAAAUCACUCGGGAUUUUGUCAACCAUUGGUGUCUUAAGGAUAUCAAAUCCAACUUGCUCAGCUUCAACCAUGCGGAGAUCAACAGGAAUUUCUUGAAAUUGUACAGCAAGCUGACAGUCUCCAAGAGACAAAUUAACGGAAACAUAAGCUUUAAUAGUACCCUCUCCAUUCCUGAACCCUGUAUCCACUGUUAGAUGAAUGGGAUUGGGAACUUCUCUAGAAUAGAAUUCAUGGAUCAAUGCACUUCCACCAGUGACUCCUAAUCCGGUUGAAUACCAUCCAACAAUAGCUUCUUUUGGAUUCACUUUUUGGUGAGACAACAACAUAUUAUGAUGGUAAUCAAUAUCCAGAGCAACCUGGUCGGAGGAUUCAUUGUGAGGGACAGCGUAAGAAUUACGAAUGUCAACAGUGCCAUCGGGUAGGACGGAGCCAAGAAGCGUGCCAAUGACGCGCUCUGCUUGGUCAGGGCGCCUCACGUAGCAAUCGCAGAUGUUGAAGAUCACCAAGGGGUGCACCUUCGCCAACAGGCUUGACGAUGAGAGCACUGGCGUGAAUUGAAGGGCAGUGUGCUCGCUCGCCGCCAUUCUCCGAUCUCGAUUGGACCGCUAAAGAGAGACUGAGCACUAGGGUUUUUGGGAAG